ACGCUCGACACCUACGGGAGCAGCAGUGAGGAAUAUUGGUCAAUGGGCGCAGGCCUGAACCAGCCAAGUAGCGUGAAGGAUGACUGCCCUAUGGGUUGUAAACUUCUUUUAUAUGGGAAUAAAGUUUUCCACGUGUGGAAUUUUGUAUGUACCAUAUGAAUAAGGAUCGGCUAACUCCGUGGCAGCAGCCGCGGUAAUCUGAGCGGGCUGGCAAGGC
This 217-nucleotide ribosomal RNA is filed under the name uncultured bacterium. Its description in RNAcentral is "partial 16S ribosomal RNA". It matches the Rfam family "Bacterial small subunit ribosomal RNA", at positions 328 to 539 of the family's 1533-position model. The record is from RNAcentral.